Molecule: ribosomal RNA, 576 nt
Filed under: Physarum auriscalpium
Lineage: Eukaryota; Evosea; Eumycetozoa; Physariida; Physaraceae
Description: SSU rRNA
Rfam family: Eukaryotic small subunit ribosomal RNA
Source: RNAcentral
AUGCUUCUCCUAAAGACUAAGCCAUGCAUGUCUUAGAAUAGAAGAAGUUCUCUCUUUGAAUCUGCGAACGGCUCCGCAAACCAGUUGUAAACUGUAGCAAGCAUGCCCUUAGGGGCCGGUCGCAAGGCUGGUCCUUUUGGGUUACAAGGAUAACCCUGGUAAUUCUGAGGCUAAUACAAGAAAGUACCACCUGAUCGACCGGGCAACUGGGAGAUUGGGGGGUGUGUGAAUUGGUGCAAUGAUACCUGGGAAUAGCCGCACAUCUGGACCACCAUACCAAACAGUCUUGGUUCCAAUCGACCCUCUCGGGGGAAGAACGGUUCUUUGUCUGGGUGGCUCUUGCUCUGUGCUUCUGACCUAUCAACUAGAUGGCAGUGUAACGUACAUGCUAUGGUAACAACGGGUACAGAGGAUAAGGGUUUGAUCCUGGAGAGUGGGCCUGAGAGAUUGCUCACACUUCUAAGGAAGGCAGCAGGCGCGCAACGUUCCCAUUGGGCAAUGCCCGAGGGCGUUAGGGGAAAUAUGAAUGCCUGCCAUUGGUGGGCAAUUCAAAUGGGUUUUUUCUAAACCACAUUU